GAUCAGAAGAGGACUCUCCUGACCAGCCUGGGAAAAGUCUGAGCAGAGUCUGCAGGGGCAAAUACAACUUACUCAGACAAAAAAGGCUGUCAGCAGCAAGUCUAGGCAGAAGCCAGGAGGAGUUAGGAACAGACUAUAAGAAAUGGUUGGUCUGGAGGAAAAAGGGUAAAACUUAUGAGCCAUUCACUGAUGUAUUGGUAAGAGGACAGGAGUCCUGGGGAAAGACUGCCUCAUUUACACUCCAAAGACUUGGGUUCUGAUCUCCAUGUCGUGGCUUAUCAUAGUGUAAGCCAGUUAUGUACCUCUAGAAAUGGAAGUUUCUGCUGUUUAUAAACUGGAAAUAAUGAUACAUGUCCUGACUCCUAUUGGGUUGUUGCAAAGGAAUCAAUUGAAAUAAGACAAGACUUUCUGAAGGCACUUUGCCAACUUUCAGAACUGUAAAGAUUAAGGGACUGCUACUAUGUGCUGCUCAGGAAAUAACAGGCACCUGGGAAAACCCACGAAGUAAGGUUUUGUAAGAAGUUGCUCUGCUCCCUGGGAGAAAACGCGGAGCUCAACACUGCCAAGAGGAACAAGUCUGGGAAAUUACGACAUGAGGGCCCUUGUGAAUUGAUGAAUAUGAAGACACUAAGAAAGCAGAAAUAGAACUGAGAAGAAUGAAAUAACUGUCUCUACCUUUCUCGAAUUGUCUAAUAUGGAAAGAAUGAAAGACAGCUAAUAAGCAACUCUCUGCAAGAAGACAUAUGGCUUAGGUUCUGCUGAGCUAUUGGUGAUUUGAUUCCAUGCAUAUGUAUUCACUACUGAGAUGGGAUCUUGCUAUGUGGCCCAGGCUGGCCUCAAACUCCUGGCCUCAAGAUAUUUCCCCCUGCCUUGGCCUCUCAAAGUGAAUCUACUUGGAGAGAGUCAAACACAGAAUCCCUUUGAAUUUAAUGGCCAUUCCAGGUGAUUUGAACAGCCAAAUAAGAAACAGGUCCUCUUCAAUGUACAAUCUGCCAAGUAUGAAGUCUGAAUGACCAUCAUUAUUAUGUAUUUAAUGUGCAUAGAAAAUCUAUCUGCAACCUUCCAGAGUGUACCAGAAGUUUGGAAUGUACAUUAUUAUUGGCUCCAUCUCAAACCACUCAUAAAUCAAAGAAAAUAGCAGUUCCAGAGGAAUCAUCAUAGAGGCUUCUAGGCCCCCAUGCUGUGUGAACCUGGUGAGAAAGGGAAGUCUGCUCUCACUGGACACUGGAACUGUUUGUCUCUGUCUCUGCUGUACUUUCCCUGCCUCUACCUCACUUAGUAAAGAAAUCAUCUUUGCUUGAUAACUAAAACAACCAAUAAGGCUGAGAAAGGGGAAAACCCACAUCUGGAUUUAAAUACAAGGUAUUGGGCCAGCUGCUGGGGAUUAAACUUUGAACAAAACAGAUAGAAUCUAUGUCCUCAUGGGAGUGGCUAAUGGGAGAGUCGGAACAAAAAAAUAGCCAAGGAUAAUCCAGCAAAUGAUUUGGUGAAUGCUAUCAAAGAGAGAAAUACACAUGCUCUGGGAACACCAAGAAUAAACGAGAGAAAGGGACAUUAAUAUAUAUUGAAUAUCUGCUGUGUCAGGCACCUUACAUAUAUUGAUUGCUUCUUCACUUCUUUUAAUCUUUACUACACCACAUGAGGCUGUCAUAGAGAUUCUGAGAACAAAUUGUCUAAUUGAGAAACUGCUGAGCAUUGGAAAUGAGCUUGCCAGGGGAACAGAGGGAUACCUGAAUAGCGAAUGCAAGGCAGUUCAAAACUCAAACUCAGGCCACUGGAUUUGCUGCCCACUGCUCCUUGUAUGAUCGCCCUUGGGCACCACAUCCAUGUAGAGUCUUCUUCUAAGAGGCAAGGAAGGUCAAAGCUGAAACCACACAUCCCAGAUUAUGAUUGAGGUGUUUUUAUAGAACUUGUUUAUUUACAGCGUCUAUACUAAAACUUAUUUUUGGAAGCUGUAGUCAAAUAAUGUUUCUUAAGUGCCUUCACAGGAUAGACCAGCAAUAGAUGCUGUGGAAGAAGUGCAUGAUGUAGCUCCUGACCUCAAGACACUUUUCCACUGGAUACGGAUACAGGGCAUAUCUCCAGGGAGAUCAUUCAGGAUAAUGCCCAGUCAUCAGCAGGCAGUGCCAUAUGAAUGCAUAGCAAGUUAUGCUCCAGGAAGCAGAGGAAGCAGAGCACAUGAGGAAUGGGCUUCUAUGUGUAGCUGGAGUCUCACCUGGGUUUUGAAUUCAUAAAUAGUGUUCAAGGAGGAAGCAGGGAGGGUAUAGCUCUUGAUAGGAAGUGAUGGGAUGGCGAUACGAAUAUAUGUUCCUUGUUUGAAAUACCACAUGAAGGGCAUGUGGCUGUGAAACCAACUUUGCAAAGAUGAUGACAGUGAGAGAAAUCUAGCAUGGCUGACUCCAUCUUGCUUCUAGCCUCGCAGGCUGGCUACCCUCACUCACUCUUGGGCAUAGGCCCAGCUAACCAUGGGAGUCAUUUGAUUUAUAGAUUAACUUUGAAACAAGAAUGAUAAGAGUCUCUCCCUAAAACUGACCCCUUCCUUGUUCAGGAGCUGAAACUGCCUUUGUAAGACUAAUGAAAGGCCACAAGAUUAGGAUUAUGGGAGAGGCCUGGAUUCUGCUAAAAUGUAGGUGUAGUAAAUGAUAAACAGACAUUGAUCUCCAGUUGGCUUUUCUAUAAUCCCUUCCUGCUCCGGGGUCAGGUGGCCAGAGGCACAAGAUUUGUGGCUUCCGCAAAUUCUCCUGUAGGUAACAUCACUAUUGUAGAAUUUGAGAUUGGUCUUUUGAGAUGUUUUUCAGGCUUUUGCAUUCUGGCAACUCACUGACCCCAUGACUCAUGACUCAACCUGUUCUGUGGCCCCCACACAGAGGCUAGUUCAGUGCACAAGAACCAUUUUCCACACCCCUAUGUUGUCAUUCCCAACCAAUCAGCAACACCCACCCCUGAGCUCCCUGCCUGCCCAAUUAUCCAUAAAACUCUAGCCUCUGAGUUCUUGGGAUGGCUGAUUUGAGCAAUUAUUCCCAUCCUUCCAUUCAACUAGCCCUGCCAUUAUUAAACUCUUUCUCUACUGCAAUACAUCUGUCUCAGUGAACUGAUUUUAUCUGUGCAGUGGGCAACAAUUAGCCAUUGGGUGAUUAUAGCUGGAAAAGUGCCUACCUUGUGGCAGUUAAACAUGAGGUUUGGAGGGAGACUACCUACAUCUAACCACCACUGACCACCAUUGUAGUUGAGGUUCUGGUCAACUUAUUAACCCUUUGUGCGCACAUGUGCAUGCGUGCACACACACAGACACACACAGACACAUUUUCUCAUGUGUGAAAUGGGGACCAUAAUGUUGGAUCUCCCAGUGUUGCAGGAAGGACUCAUUGUAACAGAACAUGAAAAUAUUUAAUGUGCUGCCUAAUGUAUAACAGACACUGAAUAAAAUAACCACUGUUUUCAUUAGUAAUGGUCUUAGAUACCUAGCUAAGGCAAAAAUUUACUCGAUUUCCUGUCCCUCAUCUUUCAAACUUACUUGGGUUUGUAACCAUCCUUGCUUCCUUCCCCUCUUUUCAAAGUGUUAUUUCCUUUCAAAGUUAAUCCUUUCACUUGAUUCUCAUUCCAUCACGUAUUGUCUUCCUUC
Molecule: long non-coding RNA, 3622 nt
Filed under: Homo sapiens (human)
Lineage: Eukaryota; Metazoa; Chordata; Mammalia; Primates; Hominidae
Description: HSALNT0111915
Source: RNAcentral